RNAcentral lists this unclassified non-coding RNA (603 nucleotides) under Hevea brasiliensis (rubber tree). Lineage: Eukaryota; Viridiplantae; Streptophyta; Magnoliopsida; Malpighiales; Euphorbiaceae. The record is from RNAcentral.
UGAUUAUUAGAUUUUGUAACUUUUUUUUUUUAGCACAAACAUGCUUGAUUUCAAUUAGAUCAACGGCUACACAGUUACAAUUGGACAGAAAUUUUGGCCAAUUAUUUCUGUAAGAAGAAAUGCAAGGACAAGAAAGAAGAAGUGGAUACAGAUAGAAACAGUUCACCGAUACAAAAAAAAAGUUACAAAAUCUAAUAAUCAUGUUCUACUACCUCGAGGCAAUUGAGAAAUUCUUCUUUCCUCGCCAUGCAAAGAAUGAAGAAAAGAAAACAUGACUUUCUUUCUACGCAGGCCUAUUUCUCUUGUGACCAGCUUUGCCAUCAGAUUUCAAAGCCCCACUAGAAUCCCCCUCGGAGGAACCUUCCAUGGAUUUGGUGAAGGAGCUGGAAAGAUCAGCAUAAAGGUCAACCACUCUCCUGAUAUUAUUGUUGAGCUCCCUAAUCAGACCCACAUUUCUGCUUAGGUUGUCAGGGAUCUUAGAUUCAUGGUUCUGGUUUAUCUCAUUGAUGAGCAGCCUAUUUUGAUCCAAGAUGUUUUGAACCUGAACAAAGUUCUUCUGAAAUGUCUGCAAGAUCUUGCCAUCUAUCUGGGUGCCAUUACCAA